This 465-nucleotide ribosomal RNA is filed under the name uncultured bacterium. RNAcentral describes it as "partial 16S ribosomal RNA". It matches the Rfam family "Bacterial small subunit ribosomal RNA", at positions 28 to 507 of the family's 1533-position model. The record is from RNAcentral.
GACGAACGCUGGCGGCGUGCUUAACACAUGCAAGUCGAACGGAAAGGCCCUGCUUGCAGGGUACUCGAGUGGCGAACGGGCGAGUAACACGUGGGUGAUCUGCCCUGCACUUCGGGAUAAGCCUGGGAAACUGGGUCUAAUACCGGAUAGGAGCCAUUUUUAGUGUGAUGGUUGGAAAGUUUUUUCGGUGUAGGAUGAGCUCGCGGCCUAUCAGCUUGUUGGUGGGGUAAUGGCCUACCAAGGCGGCGACGGGUAGCCGGCCUGAGAGGGUGGACGGCCACAUUGGGACUGAGAUACGGCCCAGACUCCUACGGGAGGCAGCAGGGGGGAAUAUUGCACAAUGGGCGCAAGCCUGAUGCAGCGACGCCGCGUGGGGGAUGACGGCCUUCGGGUUGUAAACUCCUUUCGCUAGGGACGAAGCUUUUUGUGACGGUACCUAGAUAAGAAGCACCGGCUAACUACGUG